RNAcentral lists this ribosomal RNA (250 nucleotides) under uncultured bacterium. RNAcentral describes it as "partial 16S ribosomal RNA". It matches the Rfam family "Bacterial small subunit ribosomal RNA", at positions 524 to 773 of the family's 1533-position model. The record is from RNAcentral.
UACGGAGGAUCCGAGCGUUAUCCGGAUUUAUUGGGUUUAAAGGGUGCGUAGGCGGCCUGUUAAGUCAGAGGUGAAAGACAGCAGCUCAACUGUUGCAGUGCCUUUGAUACUGACAGGCUUGAAUGAUGUCGAAGAUGGCGGAAUGUGACAAGUAGCGGUGAAAUGCAUAGAUAUGUCACAGAACUCCAAUUGCGAAGGCAGCUAUCUAGAGAUUAAUUGACGCUGAUGCACGAAAGCGUGGGGAUCAAAC